GAUGAACGCUAGCGGCAGGCUUAAUACAUGCAAGUCGUGGGCAGCAGGUUUGUAGCAAUACAGAUGCUGGCGACCGGCAAACGGGUGCGGAACACGUACAGAACCUUCCUUUGAGCGGGGAAUAGCCCAGAGAAAUUUGGAUUAAUACCCCAUAGUAUAAUGAAGUGGCAUCACUUUAUUAUUAAAGAUUUAUCACUCGAAGAUGGCUGUGCGGCUGAUUAGGUAGUUGGCGGGGUAAAGGCCCACCAAGCCUGCGAUCAGUAACUGGUGUGAGAGCACGACCAGUCACACGGGCACUGAGACACGGGCCCGACUCCUACGGGAGGCAGCAGUAAGGAAUAUUGGUCAAUGGAGGCAACUCUGAACCAGCCAUGCCGCGUGGAGGAUGAAGGUCCUCUGGAUUGUAAACUUCUUUAUAUGGGACGAAAAAAGGCUUUUCUAAGUCGUCUGACGGUACCAUAUGAAUAAGCACCGGCUAACUCCGUGCCAGCAGCCGACGG
RNAcentral lists this ribosomal RNA (500 nucleotides) under uncultured bacterium. Its description in RNAcentral is "bacterial SSU rRNA". It matches the Rfam family "Bacterial small subunit ribosomal RNA", at positions 28 to 520 of the family's 1533-position model. The record is from RNAcentral.